RNAcentral lists this ribosomal RNA (253 nucleotides) under uncultured bacterium. Its description in RNAcentral is "partial 16S ribosomal RNA". It matches the Rfam family "Bacterial small subunit ribosomal RNA", at positions 524 to 776 of the family's 1533-position model. The record is from RNAcentral.
GACAGAGGGUGCAAACGUUGUUCGGAAUUACUGGGCGUAAAGCGCGUGUAGGCUGCCCUGCAAGUCGGAUGUGAAAGCCCUGGGCUCAACCUAGGAAGUGCACUCGAAACUGCAGGGCUGGAGUCCUGGAGAGGAAGGCGGAAUUCUCGGUGUAGAGGUGAAAUUCGUAGAUAUCGAGAGGAACACCGGUGGCGAAGGCGGCCUUCUGGACAGUGACUGACGCUGAGACGCGAAAGCGUGGGGAGCGAACAGG